This 467-nucleotide ribosomal RNA is filed under the name uncultured bacterium. Its description in RNAcentral is "bacterial SSU rRNA". It matches the Rfam family "Bacterial small subunit ribosomal RNA", at positions 355 to 825 of the family's 1533-position model. The record is from RNAcentral.
UAGGGAAUAUUGGACAAUGGGUGAGAGCCUGAUCCAGCCAUGCCGCGUGCAGGAAGAAGGCGUUAUGCGUUGUAAACUGCUUUUUGCCAGGGGAUAAAAAGACCGUGCGCGGUUAAUUGAAGGUACCUGGUGAAUAAGCCACGGCUAACUACGUGCCAGCAGCCGCGGUAAUACGUAGGUGGCAAGCGUUGUCCGGAUUUAUUGGGUUUAAAGGGUGCGUAGGUGGCCCUGUAAGUCAGUGGUGAAAUAUCUCAGCUUAACUGAGAGGGCGCCAUUGAUACUGCAGGGCUUGAGUACAGAUGAGGUAGGCGGAAUUGACGGUGUAGCGGUGAAAUGCAUAGAUAUCGUCAAGAACACCGAUAGCGAAGGCAGCUUACCAAGCUGUAACUGACACUGAGGCACGAAAGUGUGGGGAUCAAACAGGAUUAGAUACCCUUGUAGUCCCUGAGCGGGCUGGCAAGGCGCAU